AAAUACAGAUGGCUGGAAUGCUUCUGUAUUCAAAGCUCCGGCGCCUGAGGAUGAGUUUGCGGCCUAUCAGGUUGUAGUCAGGGUCAAGACCUGACUAGCCAGCGACGGGUAUGGGGUGUGAGAGCACUUGCCCAGAGAUGGUUUCUGAGACACGAAACCAGGCCCUACGGGGCGCAGCAGGCGCGAAAACUUCGCAAUGCGGGAAACCGUGACGAGGGAACUCCGAGUGUCUAUGCAUUGCAUAGACUGUUUUUUAGCCUAAAUAGCUAUUAGAGUAAGGGGUGGGCAAGACCGGUGCCAGCCGCCGCGGUAACACCGGCACCCCGAGUGGUAGCCACUAUUAUUGGGCCUAAAGCGUUCGUAGCCGGUUUGGUAAAUUCUUGGGUAAAUCGUACCGCUCAACGGUGCGGAUUCCGGGGACACUACCAGACUUGAGACCGGGGGAGAUCAGAGGUACUUGCGGGGGAGCGGUGAAAUGUUGUAAUCCCGCAGGGACCACCAGUGGCGAAGGCGUCUGAUCAGAACGGCUCUGACGGUGAGGAACGAAACCCUGGGGCGCAAACGGGAUUAGAUACCCCGGUAGUCCAGGGCGUAAACGCUGCUGACUUGGUGUUGGGGAUCCUACGAGGAUGUCCAGUGCUGGCGCGAAGGUAUUAAGUCAGCCGCCUGGGGAGUACGGUCGCAAGACUGAAACUUAAAGGAAUUGGCGGGGGAGCACUGCAACGUGUGGAGCGUGCGGUUUAAUUGGACUCAACGCCGGGA
This 762-nucleotide ribosomal RNA is filed under the name uncultured marine group III euryarchaeote. RNAcentral describes it as "bacterial SSU rRNA". It matches the Rfam family "Archaeal small subunit ribosomal RNA", at positions 156 to 923 of the family's 1478-position model. The record is from RNAcentral. Lineage: Archaea; Methanobacteriati; Thermoplasmatota; Thermoplasmata; Candidatus Thermoprofundales.